UACGGAGGACCCGAGCGUUAUCCGGAUUUAUUGGGUUUAAAGGGUGCGCAGGCGGACUAGUAAGUCAGUGGUGAAAGCCUACCGCUUAACGGUAGAACUGCCAUUGAUACUGCUGGUCUUGAGUACGGUUGAGGUGGGCGGAAUGUGUCAUGUAGCGGUGAAAUGCUUAGAUAUGACACAGAACACCAAUUGCGAAGGCAGCUCGCUAAACCGUAACUGACGCUGAGGCACGAAAGCGUGGGGAGCAAACAGGAUUAGAUACCCCCGUAGUCC
Molecule: ribosomal RNA, 273 nt
Filed under: uncultured bacterium
Lineage: Bacteria
Description: partial 16S ribosomal RNA
Rfam family: Bacterial small subunit ribosomal RNA
Source: RNAcentral